AUUGAACGCUGGCGGCAGGCCUAACACAUGCAAGUCGAGCGGUAGAGAGAAGCUUGCUUCUCUUGAGAGCGGCGGACGGGUGAGUAAGGCCUAGGAAUCUGUCUGGUAGUGGGGGAUAACGUUCGGAAACGGACGCUAAUACCGCGUACGUCCUACGGGAGAAAGCAGGGGAUUGUCGGGCCUUGCGCUAUCAGAUGAGCCUAGGUCGGAUUAGCUAGUUGGUGAGGUAAUGGCUCACCAAGGCGACGAUCCGUAACUGGUCUGAGAGGAUGAUCAGUCACACUGGAACUGAGACACGGUCUAGACUCCUACGGUAGGCAGCAGUGGGGAAUAUUGGACAAUGGACGAAAGCCUGAUCCAGCCAUGCCGCGUGUGUGAAGAAGGUCUUCGGAUUGUAAAGCACUUUAAGUUGGGAGGAAGGGCAUUAACCUAAUACGUUAGUGUUUUGACGUUACCGACAGAAUAAGCACCGGCUAACUCUGUGCCAGCCGCCGCCGUAA
RNAcentral lists this ribosomal RNA (500 nucleotides) under uncultured bacterium. RNAcentral describes it as "partial 16S ribosomal RNA". It matches the Rfam family "Bacterial small subunit ribosomal RNA", at positions 30 to 523 of the family's 1533-position model. The record is from RNAcentral.